This 425-nucleotide ribosomal RNA is filed under the name uncultured bacterium. RNAcentral describes it as "bacterial SSU rRNA". It matches the Rfam family "Bacterial small subunit ribosomal RNA", at positions 354 to 776 of the family's 1533-position model. The record is from RNAcentral.
GUGAGGAAUAUUGGUCAAUGGACGCAAGUCUGAACCAGCCAAGUAGCGUGAAGGACGACCGCCCUAUGGGUUGUAAACUUCUUUUAUAAGGGAAUAAAUUAAGGCACGCGUGCCUUCUUGCAUGUACCUUAUGAAGAAGGAUCGGCUAACUCCUUGCCAGCAGCCGCGGUAAUACGGAGGAUCCGAGCGUUAUCCGGAUUUAUUGGGUUUAAAGGGAGCGUAGGCGGGAUGUUAAGUCAGUUGUGAAAGUUUGCGGCUCAACCGUAAAAUCGCAGUUGAUACUGGCUUCCUUGAGUGCGGCAGAGGCAGGCGGAAUUCGUGGUGUAGCGGUGAAAUGCUUAGAUAUCACGAAGAACCCCGAUUGCGAAGGCAGCCUGCUGGACCGUAACUGACGCUGAUGCUCGAAAGUGCGGGUAUCAAACAGG